CCGUGAUCGAGGGUGGAUGUUACGCUCCACCUCCAACGCCUUCCCGCCUGGACUAUCAUUCCCCGCAUAAGGAGUUUCCACCGUCGAGCGAUUCAAACCUAGCGCUGGAAGUGUGCUGUGUGUGCUGACGGGCUGCUGAGUGUGCUGAGGCUUGGCUUGGUUUAUAGUGUGAGUUUAGGAUUGACGGGAAAAAGUUUGGAAAUUGCGUUUUUUGGCUAUUAGCUCCACCGCCUCCACCGCUGUCGCUUCCACCUGACUCAACCUGCUGACGAGGACAAAGAAAGGAUAAGGCAGCGCGGAAGAGUCCCUGAUAACCCGCGGGCACUCGUCGAGGUCAUCGGGGAGUGAAGAGACAGACACAAACGCACACGCACCGCCGCCUGAAGCUGUGUUGGCAGGCCGGGGAGGAGUCAGACCCGCCCGCCUGCCACACGUCCUGCCGAAUUAGUCACCGGAACACGACCUCGGCCAAAGAGAAAGAGUGAGGGCGCGCGACGCUUUACAGAGGCGAGUAGAAUAUGUUGU
Long non-coding RNA from Eriocheir sinensis (Chinese mitten crab), 525 nucleotides. RefSeq lists it as uncharacterized. The transcript has 3 exons. Lineage: Eukaryota; Metazoa; Arthropoda; Malacostraca; Decapoda; Varunidae. The record is from RefSeq and is a predicted model, not a curated record.